Molecule: ribosomal RNA, 465 nt
Filed under: uncultured bacterium
Lineage: Bacteria
Description: bacterial SSU rRNA
Rfam family: Bacterial small subunit ribosomal RNA
Source: RNAcentral
GGGCCCGCACAAGCGGUGGAGCAUGUGGUUCAAUUCGACGCAACGCGAAGAACCUUACCGGGGUUUGAACCGUACGGGACAGCUGCAGAGAUUCAGUUUUCCUUCGGGACCCGUAUAGAGGUGCUGCAUGGCUGUCGUCAGCUCGUGUCGUGAGAUGUUGGGUUAAGUCCCGCAACGAGCGCAACCCUUGCCUCCUGUUGCUAACGAGUAAGGUCGAGCACUCUGGAGAGACUGCCGGUGAUAAACCGGAGGAAGGUGGGGAUGACGUCAAGUCCUCAUGGCCUUUAUGCCCCGGGCUACACACGUGCUACAAUGGUUGGUACAAAGGGUCGCAAAGCCGCGAGGUGGAGCUAAUCCCAGAAAACCAAUCCCAGUUCGGAUUGCAGUCUGCAACUCGACUGCAUGAAGCUGGAAUCGCUAGUAAUCGCGGAUCAGCACGCCGCGGUGAAUACGUUCCCGGGCCUU